Long non-coding RNA from Dromaius novaehollandiae (emu), 8235 nucleotides. RefSeq lists it as uncharacterized. The record is from RefSeq and is a predicted model, not a curated record. Lineage: Eukaryota; Metazoa; Chordata; Aves; Casuariiformes; Dromaiidae. The transcript is spliced from 34 exons.
GCUGCUGGGAGGAGUGGCGGUGCUGGGAGGGCACGGUGCGGAGCUGUCCUGCUGUGCAGCGCAAGGGAAAGUCGACCAGCACCGUUGCUGUCCGAGGACCCUGGAACAGCCCGAGAGACCCUGGAACAGCCACCCCACGGACACCGUGUCACUGCCUCGCAAGGCCACUGCAUGCAGGGUAGCCCACCGAAGGGGGACAUCUCGAAGAGAAGCAGCAAGAGCUGGGGGUCCGGUGGUUCAUUUUGGUCGUCGCCUGUGAGGCCAGCAUGCAAGAGUAAGAGGAAGCUAGGAGCAGUCUCAAAAAGAGGUGGAACCAAGGACAGCAAAUGCUGACGAGGAGAAGAGACGGACGAGCAUUUGCUUGCGGUUAAUACCGAAGGGAGGGGAUGAAACAAGGAAGCCAGAAUGCAGCGGCCCCUCGAUAUCACCAGGAACUGCUAUAGGAGGAGGCGUUCUGGCACGGGUAACUAGGAUUAAUUGCCACGGCUGAAGUUGAAGAGACCAAGAAACGUAAGCCGCAAAGGGGCACAUCUUGAAGAGAGGGGGCUAGACCUAGCGAUGCAGUUGUUCGUUUUGGUCGUCGCCUGUGAGGCCAGCAUGCAAGAGUAAGAGGAAGCUAGGAGCAGUCUCAAAAAGAGGUGGAACCAAGGACAGCAAAUGCUGACGAGGAGAAGAGACGGACGAGCGUUUGCUUGCGGUUAAUACCGAAGGGAGGGGAUGAAACAAGGAAGCCAGAAUGCAGCGGCCCCUCGAUAUCACCAGGAACUGCUACAGGAGGAGGCGUUCUGGCACGGGUAACUAGGGGUAGCCCACCGAAGGGGGACAUCUCGAAGAGAAGCAGCAAGAGCUGGGGAUCCGGUGGUUCAUUUUGGUCGUCGCCUGUGAGGCCAGCAUGCAAGAGUAAGAGGAAGCUAGGAGCAGUCUCAGAAAGAGGUGGAACCGAGGACAGCAAAUGCUGACGAGGAGAAGAGACGGACGAGCGUUUGCUUGCGGUUAAUACCGAAGGGAGGGGAUGAAACAAGGAAGCCAGAAUGCAGCGGCCCCUCGAUAUCACCAGGAACUGCUACAGGAGGAGGCGUUCUGGCACGGGUAACUAGGAUUAAUUGCCACGGCUGAAGUUGAAGAGACCAAGAAACGUAAGCCGCAAAGGGGCACAUCUUGAAGAGAGGGGGCUAGACCUAGCGAUGCAGUUGUUCGUUUUGGUCGUCGCCUGUGAGGCCAGCAUGCAAGAGUAAGAGGAAGCUAGGAGCAGUCUCAGAAAGAGGUGGAACCGAGGACAGCAAAUGCUGACGAGGAGAAGAGACGGACGAGCGUUUGCUUGCGGUUAAUACCGAAGGGAGGGGAUGAAACAAGGAAGCCAGAAUGCAGCGGCCCCUCGAUAUCACCAGGAACUGCUACAGGAGGAGGCGUUCUGGCACGGGUAACUAGGAUUAAUUGCCACGGCUGAAGUUGAAGAGACCAAGAAACGUAAGCUGCAAAGGGGCACAUCUUGAAGAGAGGGGGCUAGACCUAGCGAUGCAGUUGUUCGUUUUGGUCGUCGCCUGUGAGGCCAGCAUGCAAGAGUAAGAGGAAGCUAGGAGCAGUCUCAAAAAGAGGUGGAACCAAGGACAGCAAAUGCUGACGAGGAGAAGAGACGGACGAGCGUUUGCUUGCGGUUAAUACCGAAGGGAGGGGAUGAAACAAGGAAGCCAGAAUGCAGCGGCCCCUCGAUAUCACCAGGAACUGCUACAGGAGGAGGCGUUCUGGCACGGGUAACUAGGGGUAGCCCACCGAAGGGGGACAUCUCGAAGAGAAGCAGCAAGAGCUGGGGAUCCGGUGGUUCAUUUUGGUCGUCGCCUGUGAGGCCAGCAUGCAAGAGUAAGAGGAAGCUAGGAGCAGUCUCAAAAAGAGGUGGAACCAAGGACAGCAAAUGCUGACGAGGAGAAGAGACGGACGAGCGUUUGCUUGCGGUUAAUACCGAAGGGACGGGAUGAAACAAGGAAGCCAGAAUGCAGCGGCCCCUCGAUAUCACCAGGAACUGCUACAGGAGGAGGCGUUCUGGCACGGGUAACUAGGAUUAAUUGCCACGGCUGAAGUUGAAGAGACCAAGAAACGUAAGCCGCAAAGGGGCACAUCUUGAAGAGAGGGGGCUAGACCUAGCGAUGCAGUUGUUCGUUUUGGUCGUCGCCUGUGAGGCCAGCAUGCAAGAGUAAGAGGAAGCUAGGAGCAGUCUCAGAAAGAGGUGGAACCGAGGACAGCAAAUGCUGACGAGGAGAAGAGACGGACGAGCGUUUGCUUGCGGUUAAUACCGAAGGGAGGGGAUGAAACAAGGAAGCCAGAAUGCAGCGGCCCCUCGAUAUCACCAGGAACUGCUACAGGAGGAGGCGUUCUGGCACGGGUAACUAGGAUUAAUUGCCACGGCUGAAGUUGAAGAGACCAAGAAACGUAAGCUGCAAAGGGGCACAUCUUGAAGAGAGGGGGCUAGACCUAGCGAUGCAGUUGUUCGUUUUGGUCGUCGCCUGUGAGGCCAGCAUGCAAGAGUAAGAGGAAGCUAGGAGCAGUCUCAAAAAGAGGUGGAACCAAGGACAGCAAAUGCUGACGAGGAGAAGAGACGGACGAGCGUUUGCUUGCGGUUAAUACCGAAGGGAGGGGAUGAAACAAGGAAGCCAGAAUGCAGCGGCCCCUCGAUAUCACCAGGAACUGCUACAGGAGGAGGCGUUCUGGCACGGGUAACUAGGGGUAGCCCACCGAAGGGGGACAUCUCGAAGAGAAGCAGCAAGAGCUGGGGAUCCGGUGGUUCAUUUUGGUCGUCGCCUGUGAGGCCAGCAUGCAAGAGUAAGAGGAAGCUAGGAGCAGUCUCAGAAAGAGAUGGAACCGAGGACAGCAAAUGCUGACGAGGAGAAGAGACGGACGAGCGUUUGCUUGCGGUUAAUACCGAAGGGAGGGGAUGAAACAAGGAAGCCAGAAUGCAGCGGCCCCUCGAUAUCACCAGGAACUGCUACAGGAGGAGGCGUUCUGGCACGGGUAACUAGGAUUAAUUGCCACGGCUGAAGUUGAAGAGACCAAGAAACGUAAGCUGCAAAGGGGCACAUCUUGAAGAGAGGGGGCUAGACCUAGCGAUGCAGUUGUUCGUUUUGGUCGUCGCCUGUGAGGCCAGCAUGCAAGAGUAAGAGGAAGCUAGGAGCAGUCUCAAAAAGAGGUGGAACCGAGGACAGCAAAUGCUGACGAGGAGAAGAGACGGACGAGCGUUUGCUUGCGGUUAAUACCGAAGGGACGGGAUGAAACAAGGAAGCCAGAAUGCAGCGGCCCCUCGAUAUCACCAGGAACUGCUACAGGAGGAGGCGUUCUGGCACGGGUAACUAGGGGUAGCCCACCGAAGGGGGACAUCUCGAAGAGAAGCAGCAAGAGCUGGGGAUCCGGUGGUUCAUUUUGGUCGUCGCCUGUGAGGCCAGCAUGCAAGAGUAAGAGGAAGCUAGGAGCAGUCUCAAAAAGAGGUGGAACCAAGGACAGCAAAUGCUGACGAGGAGAAGAGACGGACGAGCAUUUGCUUGCGGUUAAUACCGAAGGGACGGGAUGAAACAAGGAAGCCAGAAUGCAGCGGCCCCUCGAUAUCACCAGGAACUGCUACAGGAGGAGGCGUUCUGGCACGGGUAACUAGGAUUAAUUGCCACGGCUGAAGUUGAAGAGACCAAGAAACGUAAGCCGCAAAGGGGCACAUCUUGAAGAGAGGGGGCUAGACCUAGCGAUGCAGUUGUUCGUUUUGGUCGUCGCCUGUGAGGCCAGCAUGCAAGAGUAAGAGGAAGCUAGGAGCAGUCUCAAAAAGAGAUGGAACCGAGGACAGCAAAUGCUGACGAGGAGAAGAGACGGACGAGCGUUUGCUUGCGGUUAAUACCGAAGGGAGGGGAUGAAACAAGGAAGCCAGAAUGCAGCGGCCCCUCGAUAUCACCAGGAACUGCUACAGGAGGAGGCGUUCUGGCACGGGUAACUAGGAUUAAUUGCCACGGCUGAAGUUGAAGAGACCAAGAAACGUAAGCCGCAAAGGGGCACAUCUUGAAGAGAGGGGGCUAGACCUAGCGAUGCAGUUGUUCGUUUUGGUCGUCGCCUGUGAGGCCAGCAUGCAAGAGUAAGAGGAAGCUAGGAGCAGUCUCAAAAAGAGGUGGAACCAAGGACAGCAAAUGCUGACGAGGAGAAGAGACGGACGAGCAUUUGCUUGCGGUUAAUACCGAAGGGACGGGAUGAAACAAGGAAGCCAGAAUGCAGCGGCCCCUCGAUAUCACCAGGAACUGCUACAGGAGGAGGCGUUCUGGCACGGGUAACUAGGAUUAAUUGCCACGGCUGAAGUUGAAGAGACCAAGAAACGUAAGCCGCAAAGGGGCACAUCUUGAAGAGAGGGGGCUAGACCUAGCGAUGCAGUUGUUCGUUUUGGUCGUCGCCUGUGAGGCCAGCAUGCAAGAGUAAGAGGAAGCUAGGAGCAGUCUCAAAAAGAGGUGGAACCGAGGACAGCAAAUGCUGACGAGGAGAAGAGACGGACGAGCGUUUGCUUGCGGUUAAUACCGAAGGGACGGGAUGAAACAAGGAAGCCAGAAUGCAGCGGCCCCUCGAUAUCACCAGGAACUGCUACAGGAGGAGGCGUUCUGGCACGGGUAACUAGGGGUAGCCCACCGAAGGGGGACAUCUCGAAGAGAAGCAGCAAGAGCUGGGGAUCCGGUGGUUCAUUUUGGUCAUCGCCUGUGAGGCCAGCAUCCGAGCGUAAGAGGAAGCUAGGAGCUGUGUCGAAAAGAGAUGGAACCAAGGACAGCAAAUGCUGACGAAGAGAGGAGACGGACAAGCGUUUGCUUGCGGUUAAUACCGAAGGGAGGGGAUGAAACAAGGAAGCCAGAAUGCAGCGGCCCCUCGAUAUCACCAGGAACUGCUACAGGAGGAGGCGUUCUGGCACGGGUAACUAGGGUAAGUAUGGCUAAUGACCGUUAGCAGUUAUUUUGGCCUCCCCGAGGCAGCGCUGAGGACUGAGUAACCCGUUCCUGCCCUGUGGCUGCUGUUCCCUGUAUCUGCCUUAGCUUUGCUUUGGCUGUUUCUGUUUUGCGUUGUUACUGCACACGCGUACGUGGAAAGGGAAAGACAGAACGAAUGCUCUCUUAGAUUAAUGGCCACGGCUGAGGUUGAAGAGAGUAAAAAACGUGAGCAAGCUGAAGUAAUAGAAUCCAAGGGAGCCAAGUCAAAGUUGUCUUCCUCUGCCAGAAAAAGGGAAAGCCCGUUCCUCCUGGCGAGGAAGGAGCCCCAUUAAUAGCGAUCUGAAUAAUAGAUCGCCAGCGUAUAACGGAAGGUCUGUAUGCAUUACGAGAAGUGCUCUGCGGACAUGUGUCUCCAUGUGUGUGACUUUACGUGCCUGUGAAGCGUCAUACUUCACGAGCUGCGAGACAGCAAAUUAUUAUCUUGGGGGAGUGAUGGUCAAGUGACCAGAGCUACUGAAGAGGAAGGGAGGGAGAGAAGGGUCUGAAGUGUAAAACUGAGAGAUCGAUUUCAGGAAGGCUCAAUCAGCGCAAGCCCCGGGUUGGUUACCUGGCAAUGGUAUUUGGGGAGACGGGAUGACAGUAGAUAGGUUGAAGCCUCAUGGAAUUAAGGCUCCUUCUCACCGGUUCCCGCUUAGAGCAAUUGUAGGAGGAUUUAGUUUCCUCCAGCAGCAUUAAGGUGGCUUUGCCGGUGUCAGCAGGCCGUGGUGGAAAGUACUGGGAGGGAGUCGGGAAGGGAGCUGGGACGAGGAACGUGACUCUGCUUUCACUGAACUGGAAGAAGUGGCUAUAAAACCUGCUGCCCUCAAAUUCCCAGGACAAGGAAAGCCUUUUUCGGUAAUGCUUUCCACAUCUGCUGACUGCGUGGGAGCAGCACCGCUAGAAAACGGCAGUAAAGGAAAGCGGGUGCCGGUCGCCUCACCUUUACGUCCCCUUUGGGGGUGGAACAAAAAGUCUCUGGCUGUGAGAAAGACUGUUCAGCAGCGAUGUGGGCUGUAACCGUCUUUGAGACUUUUAGCUUUGAUCGCGCAGGGGCCAUCCAAUCUAUUCAGUUCCCUCUAAAAUAAUCACGUCAGGGAAAUGAAGAGACAGCGGAGUAUCAUCUAUCCGAGUGGCGCAGUGGGCGCUGAUCUUAACGAGCGGGGGCAGGGGGGCAGUUGCUGUGCAAGUGUUACAAGCAGUGGCUCUUCUUGUGCGCGUCUGAAUUGACUGAGGGGCAGAGCACGGUUGCGCCAAAAACGCGGACGCAGGAGGUUUCCGAGAGGUUGAUCUCUAGCGGCUACUUAGUCUGACUUCCCUUUCGCGGCAAGCCCGACUGUCUUCAUAGCUCUCAGAACAGGGGUUAGGGGAAGCGGUACUUGUGGCUUGCGUAUUCUUGUUUACCUUGCUUGAGUGUGUAUAUUGGAUCCGCUUUUGUGCUUAUAAACAACUUUGGAUUCUUAUGAUUUUCUGCAGAGCUUUGAUCUUUUUCUUUUUUUCUUUUUCUUCUUGGUUUGUUUUUUUUUUUUUUGCUUUGCUCCCUCCCUGAUGGAUUUUACUAUGCCUCCGUCAACGAGCCCUGGCUGGCAAAGUUGCUGUGUCCCAGCGGAGACUCUUAGGCGAGAUGGAGGAGUUCAGAUCCGCAGCCUGCCAGAAGAACGUCGCCCAGGAGGGGUUGCUAGCCUCGAGCUAUAGGCGCUGGCGUUCAGGACCUCGGGGAACGACUGUGUGCUGCCGUGAAGAACUACAGGCUACCACCGCUCUCGGACCUUUGUAAGUUAUCACGCGUCGAGAGCUUCCAGGAGAAUUCAAACGCCAGCAGAAAGGUUCUCCGCCUGGUCCCGACGAGGAGGCUUCGGCCACAGGAAGGUCGGCAGUGUCCUUACCGGACUCGCGGGAUGCUGUUCUGAGGGCCAGCAACUCGAAGGGAUGCAGCUCGGCCCUUUUUGUUGACUUUGGUGAUGCUGUUUUGAGGAAGCAUGUGCCGAAGCCCAGUUGGGCAGUCGAAGGAGCCUUGUCACAGCUGGGAGCUCUGCGGAGAUGCGCGGCUGGCCAUGGAGAGUGAGCUCUGACUUGCAGCGUGGACACAGCUAAGUCCUGGGCUGCAUCAUAUGUGAGCAGUGCUGGGAGGUGCGAGGUGAUUGUUCCCUAGGUGGUCACUGGUGUCACUGGCUGUGGAUGUUUGCCCAUGGAGCUGAGAGGACCAAAAAUAUUAAUUGUCUGACCCGGAGAUGAAUUAGUGCUUGCAGUGCUUCAGGUAGGUUCAGUGCAAGUGCAGCCUAGUGCAGUCCUGUGGAGUGAUUCUUGCACAUGCUCACAUUUGAAUGGUGGCUAAAACCAAGCCUCUAAACAGCAGCUGUAACGUGAUUCUGGUGCAUGUCUUCCCGUUCUGCUGUGCUUCUAGAGGAAGGGAAAACUUCUUAAGCUGUGGGCAAAACUCCUUGCCUUCUCUUUACUGUUUUCAUGCGUAUGGGUGCUUUGGUGUUUGUUGCUUAAAGCUGAGGGUUUGGAAUUUUUCACUUAAGGUUUAUUGUUUAGUUUGUUGUUGAGGGUCUCUCACUCCGGAGUUACAGUUUAUUCCUUUCUUUUGUGGGGCUCAGUCUUUAUCAGUCAGGGUUUACAGUUUGCUCGUUUAGUGAUCAGGGCGCAGAAUUUAAAAUCCAACCUUAGCCAUAAAUUUUAAAGUCUCGGCAACUAUUAGGGUUCCAAGACCUGCAGUUAGUGUUCAGGGCUUAUGACUUACUGAUAAAGGAAAAGGGCUAAAUCCUUAGAUAAACUGUAAGCCCUGAAGCCUAAGCAGCAGGCUGCAAACCCUUCUUUGGGCUUUGUAACCUUCCCCUGUACCCAGCGUUCAGCUCUGCACACCGACCUGCGCUCUGGAUUUGAUAUGGCGCAGGCCCAUCACACGGAGACUGGCAAUGUGACGGGUGAGCUGAGAGCUGUGGAAGUGUCUUGCAGGGCUCUAGCCUGGGGUAGGGCAGAAGUGCAGACAGGCAAGAUCAGGCAUUUUCCUCUCAUCUCUGAGCUGAAUCCUAUCCCUGAAGGAAAAAGCAGAGGAGCAGGCUGUCAGCUACUCGGACACCUGCCACAUCAAGGGCAGCAGCAGGAGAUGACCCUUCCCUGAUGGAUGGAUGGACGCUGGUGUAGUGAUGACUCUUCAGGCAUCACAGGUAAGGGGAAGCAUGCUGACACUGAGCUCCAUGGCAGACUUGCUUCCAGCUAUUGUUUCUGCGCAGUAAAACAAUAAACAGUUGCUUUAUUCUUUGCA